RNAcentral lists this ribosomal RNA (247 nucleotides) under uncultured bacterium. Its description in RNAcentral is "partial 16S ribosomal RNA". It matches the Rfam family "Bacterial small subunit ribosomal RNA", at positions 795 to 1052 of the family's 1533-position model. The record is from RNAcentral.
CCACGCUGUAAACGAUGAAUACUAAGUGUUGGAGUAAUUCAGUGCUGCAGUUAACGCAAUAAGUAUUCCGCCUGAGGAGUAUGCACGCAAGUGUGAAACUUAAAGGAAUUGACGGGGACCCGCACAAGCGGUGGAGUAUGUGGUUUAAUUCGACGCAACGCGAAGAACCUUACCAGGCCUUGACAUCCCCAGCAAUGCUAUAGAGAUAUAGUGGAGGAUAUCUGGGUGACAGGUGGUGCAUGGUUGU